GCACGUAGUUAGCCGGUGCUUAUUCUUCAGGUACCGUCAUCCUCCCGAGGUAUUAACCCAGAAGAUUUCUUCCCUGACAAAAGCAGUUUACAACCCGAAGGCCUUCUUCCUGCACGCGGCAUUGCUGGAUCAGGCUUGCGCCCAUUGUCCAAAAUUCCCCA
This 161-nucleotide ribosomal RNA is filed under the name uncultured bacterium. RNAcentral's name for it is "partial 16S ribosomal RNA". The record is from RNAcentral.